GAUGAACGCUAGCGGCAGGCCUAACACAUGCAAGUCGAGGGGUAACUAGAGUGAUAGCAAUAUUACUUUGGCUAGACCGGCGCACGGGUGCGUAACACGUAUGCAACCUACCUUAUACUGGGGAAUAACUUCGAGAAAUCGGCGCUAAUACCCCAUAACACUGCGAAGAGGCAUCUCUUUGCAUUUAAAGCUCCGGCGGUAUAAGAUGGGCAUGCGUCCAAUUAGCUAGUUGGUGAGGUAACGGCUCACCAAGGCUACGAUUGGUAGGGGUUCUGAGAGGAUGAUCCCCCACACUGGUACUGAGACACGGACCAGACUCCUACGGGAGGCAGCAGUGAGGAAUAUUGCGCAAUGGACGAAAGUCUGACGCAGCCAUGCCGCGUGCAGGAUGACGGCCCUAUGGGUUGUAAACUGCUUUUGUGUGGGAAUAAACCCUUCUACGUGUAGAAGGCUGAAGGUACCAUAAGAAUAAGCACCGGCUAACUCCGUGCCAGCAGCCGCGGUAAUACGGAGGGUGCAAGCGUUAUCCGGAUUUAUUGGGUUUAAAGGGUCCGUAGGCGGGCCGAUAAGUCAGUGGUGAAAGCCCAUAGCUCAACUAUGGAACUGCCAUUGAUACUGUCGGUCUUGAGUAUAUGUGAUGUUGGCGGAAUGUGUAGUGUAGCGGUGAAAUGCUUAGAUAUUACACAGAACACCGAUUGCGAAGGCAGCUGACAAAUAUAUAACUGACGCUGAGGGACGAAAGUGUGGGGAUCAAACAGGAUUAGAUACCCUGGUAGUCCACACCGUAAACGAUGAUUACUAGAUUUUGGCCUUAUGGUCAGAGUCCAAGCGAAAGUGUUAAGUAAUCCACCUGGGGAGUACGUCCGCAAGGAUG
RNAcentral lists this ribosomal RNA (874 nucleotides) under uncultured bacterium. RNAcentral describes it as "bacterial SSU rRNA". It matches the Rfam family "Bacterial small subunit ribosomal RNA", at positions 28 to 896 of the family's 1533-position model. The record is from RNAcentral.